Long non-coding RNA from Felis catus (domestic cat), 641 nucleotides. RefSeq lists it as uncharacterized. The transcript is spliced from 3 exons. NCBI's taxonomy places the organism in Eukaryota, Metazoa, Chordata, Mammalia, Carnivora, Felidae. The record is from RefSeq and is a predicted model, not a curated record.
UUCAAAGACAGUCUUGAGAGAGUAAUGUGUUAUUGAGAUCACCUGGGCGCUAUGCUUGCCUGAACCCAGUUAAGGCCUUUAUAUAAACCCUUAAAGUGGUAGCUGGCUGGUUGGUUGGUGUAGGGAUUUCUGCUCAGCUUGCGGCCUCUCGGGACGAGCCUGCUGGGGAAAGUUUGCCUCCCAGCCUAGAAAUUUUUUCAGCACUCGAUAUGUCUUGCGGUGGCCUGAGAGAGUUUCGCUUCAUUAAAUGUGAGAAGUCGCAACUCAAGCUAAAUCUCGAGAGAUAUUAAAUGUUGAACGUAUGCAAUUACGCCAAAUGAUGCUCCCGACUUGAACAGCCCAAGCUCGUUUUUAAAACUGUUAACUCAAUUUCUUGCCCAUGUUUCCUCUGUCUUCCCGUCCCCUUCCCCUAGCCCACCAUGCCCUCCCUUACCAACAGCAUUUGAGAUCCCAGCCAGGGUUCUGGCCAGGGACUGCUGGCUGUUCUUCACGUCGCCUUGACGAUUCCCACAGGUUUUGAGAAUCAAACCCUGCCUCCGUCGUUCAAAGCCGCCUUGCCUGGCUACAUUUUAAUUAAUUCCGUAUGGUACAAUGAUGAUAAUUUGGCCCAAAAUAAAAGUGAGCCUGCGUUAAUGCUGUUA